RNAcentral lists this ribosomal RNA (474 nucleotides) under uncultured bacterium. Its description in RNAcentral is "bacterial SSU rRNA". It matches the Rfam family "Bacterial small subunit ribosomal RNA", at positions 17 to 518 of the family's 1533-position model. The record is from RNAcentral.
UCCUGGCUCAGGAUGAACGCUGGCGGCGUGCCUAACACAUGCAAGUCGAGCGAUUCUCUUCGGAGAAGAGCGGCGGACGGGUGAGUAACGCGUGGGUAACCUGCCUCAUACACAUGGAUAACAUACCGAAAGGUAUGCUAAUACAGGAUAACAUAAGAGAUUCACAUGGAUUUCUUAUCAAAGCUCCGGCGGUAUGAGAUGGACCCGCGUCUGAUUAGCUAGUUGGUAAGGUAACGGCUUACCAAGGCGACGAUCAGUAGCCGACCUGAGAGGGUGAUCGGCCACAUUGGAACUGAGACACGGUCCAAACUCCUACGGGAGGCAGCAGUAGGGAAUAUUGCACAAUGGGCGAAAGCCUGAUGCAGCAACGCCGCGUGAGUGAUGAAGGCCUUCGGGUCGUAAAACUCUGUCCUCAAGGAAGAUAAUGACGGUACUUGAGGAGGAAGCCCCGGCUAACUACGUGCCAGCAGCCGC